Molecule: non-coding RNA, 688 nt
Organism: Paramuricea clavata
Lineage: Eukaryota; Metazoa; Cnidaria; Anthozoa; Malacalcyonacea; Plexauridae
Source: the annotation of a GenBank genome assembly
GCAGCAGAUGUGGUAAAACGGCAGUUUUCAGAGUAAAUCAUGGUAUUUUUACUAUUAUUGCAGUCUUCAAUUUGGUCUUGUGGAAGCAAAUAAAUACUGAAUAUUGAAAGACGUACAGUUUAAUUUUCUUGCUUCUCUCAUCAGUGUCAACAUUUCUGAAGUUCUGGGCAAAAUUUCGUUCUUUUGCGGAGUACAGAAACACAGCAACACUGACUCACAGCCCACAAUUGUACUCAAUUUAUUUAUCAUUUUUUCGUAACCAACGUAACAAAACUGUACUUAUCAAUAUUUUAUAUUAUUAUAUAAACGAGUGUGAGAUACUGAAAAAUACACAGUGAGAUAUUUUCCAUAUCUUCUUCACUAGUGAUACGAUCACGAUACGAUCACGUCACUUUUUCCAAUUUGUUUUUGAGCGUGAAAUUUCACAAUUUUUUGCUUGAGACUAUAUAAUAAACAGAACAUUACACGGUGGCUUGAAGAUAUGACUUUUAUCUUCUCUUGUUAAAAACAAUAUUUUACUCACUCGCUGCGCUCGUUCGUAAAAUAUUGUUUUCCCAACUCGAAGAUAAAAGUCAUAUCUUCGCGCCGCCGUGUAAUAUCCUCUAUAUGAUACUGGUCCCUAUAAACAAUGUUAAAAAUCUAACCAUCUAUUUUAAAAUUACACAGUAUAUAUAUAUAUAUAUAUAUA